UUUUGAAUUAUAGGCCAAUUCGAUUAGGUGCGACUGAGUUUCAUUUACCAUCAGUGCUCCACUAAUAAGGAGGAAAAUCAAGAUUUGAAUCAUGAUAUUCAACUAUAAUUCAAAUUGAAGUAUUUGAUGAAAUAUUCUCUUUUAAGAUGUUUUGUUAAAUGAUGUAUGAUGAAAUGAUGUGUUUCAAUUCAAUUUAAUUAC
This 201-nucleotide long non-coding RNA is filed under the name Salvia miltiorrhiza (redroot sage). RNAcentral's name for it is "long non-coding RNA (SMIL_LNC003057)". Lineage: Eukaryota; Viridiplantae; Streptophyta; Magnoliopsida; Lamiales; Lamiaceae. The record is from RNAcentral.